This 1305-nucleotide long non-coding RNA is filed under the name Pan troglodytes (chimpanzee). Its description in RNAcentral is "lncRNA (ENSPTRG00000054415.1)". The record is from RNAcentral. Lineage: Eukaryota; Metazoa; Chordata; Mammalia; Primates; Hominidae.
UAUUACUCCACAUCUCCUGCCUUUGCCCACCUGCAUUGUAUCUGUGCCUGAGCCCCGGCUGGUGGCCUGCAAGGAUCCCCUAUCUCCUCUGCCCCUGCACGGCUGGGUCCCAGGCAAUCUGUCCGCCCACCACGCCUCUCUCACCUUGCCCACCACGCUCCAGCCCCACAGUCCUCUUUCUGCUUCUUUCCCAGCCUCUGGGCUUUUACACACGCUGUUCUCUCUGCAUGAACACGCUCCAAUGGGCUGAGAACAACUCUCUGAGACCUCUCUCAGCUGUUGCUUCCUUUGGAACAGCCGCUGCUGCUGUCCCUCUCCCAGCUCCAAGACCUGCUGAGCCUCCUGUCUUUUUCAGUUCCCAUGCCCCCAGCACUUCUCCUUGGCCUCCUUUGGCCCAAUUGACAAUGUCCAUUCUCAACGCCUUCUCACCCAGCGCUGAGCCCCACUGGGUGAAGGCAAUGCCUGUCAUAUUCACCACAAUAUCCCCUCCCCUAUCACCAUGACUGGUCCACAGUGAUGCUCAAAAAACAUCUGUUGUUAGGCAAUGGGAAGGUGCAUUCAUGUCAUCCUGCAGGCGGAAUUCUCCACGAGUUUUGAGCAGCCUCGGUUUUCCCACCACCUCCAAAUCAUGCAAGACACAGGGUAAGAGCAAAGACAAGGUGGCUGUGGCCGAUGUCCACCCUCGCGGGGCGUCCCUUCUCUUCUCUCCUCCUUGGGCAGGGAGACCAUCGGGGUGCAACCAGGCUGGGGAGGGGAGGAGAUGCAGGGCCUGGCCAGCGCGGGCCUGGCCACGGGCAAGGGACAGCGACCUCCUGGGCCAAGACAGGUGAGCGCAGCGCAGGCCCGGGCCCAGCGUGUCCGCCGUGCGCAGGAGCGGCCAGCAGAGGGCACCAGAGAGCCAGGAGCCGCCCGCGGAGGAGCCGGCGCCGGCCCCAAUGCCCAGCUCCGCGCCGCGCGGACCCACCGAGCCUGCGCUCAGACGCCCCAACUCCGCCGAGAGGCCGCUCGCGCCGGGUCCUUCCUCUUCCCCAAGUGCAGGCAGAGCCACUGGAGCCAUGGCCAGCCCUUCUGGCAGCUCCGAAGCCACUGGCAAGCCCUGAGGCAGGGAUCGCCGGCCCAGGAGGGAGGAGGACGACGUCCCUCCCGAAGAGAAGAGGCUGCGGCUGUUGCUGGAGGGGGAAGCGCACAGCCCGAGGACUGCGAGGACGGGGAGGACGCGCCGCGGCCGGGCAGGGAGGAGACCGGCACCCAGACAGGUGGCGAUGGCAGAGGAGAAGGAAAAUACAUGUACAGCCAACUUCCUAG